GACGAACGCUGGCGGCGUGCUUAACACAUGCAAGUCGAACGGAAAGGCCCCUUUGGGGGUGCUCGAGUGGCGAACGGGUGAGUAACACGUGAGUAACCUGCCCUUGACUUCGGGAUAACUUCAGGAAACUGGGGCUAAUACCGGAUAGGAAUCCUUGCUGCAUGGUGGGGGUUGGAAAGCUUCGGCGGUUUUGGAUGGACUCGCGGCUUAUCAGCUUGUUGGUGGGGGAGUGGCUUACCAAGGCUUUGACGGGUAGCCGGCCUGAGAGGGCGACCGGCCACAUUGGGACUGAGAUACGGCCCAGACUCCUACGGGAGGCAGCAGUGGGGAAUAUUGCACAAUGGGCGGAAGCCUGAUGCAGCAACGCCGCGUGCGGGAUGACGGCCUUCGGGUUGUAAACCGCUUUCAGCAGGGGCGAAGCUUGUGGUGACGGUACCUGCAGAAGAAGCACCGGCUAACUACGUG
This 465-nucleotide ribosomal RNA is filed under the name uncultured bacterium. RNAcentral's name for it is "partial 16S ribosomal RNA". It matches the Rfam family "Bacterial small subunit ribosomal RNA", at positions 28 to 507 of the family's 1533-position model. The record is from RNAcentral.